RNAcentral lists this ribosomal RNA (490 nucleotides) under uncultured bacterium. RNAcentral's name for it is "partial 16S ribosomal RNA". It matches the Rfam family "Bacterial small subunit ribosomal RNA", at positions 28 to 507 of the family's 1533-position model. The record is from RNAcentral.
GAUGAACGCUAGCUACAGGCUUAACACAUGCAAGUCGAGGGGCAGCAUGGUCUUAGCUUGCUAAGGCCGAUGGCGACCGGCGCACGGGUGAGUAACACGUAUCCAACCUGCCGUCUACUCUUGGACAGCCUUCUGAAAGGAAGAUUAAUACAAGAUGGCAUCAUGAGCCCGCAUGUUCACAUGAUUAAAGGUAUUCCGGUAGACGAUGGGGAUGCGUUCCAUUAGAUAGUAGGCGGGGUAACGGCCCACCUAGUCUUCGAUGGAUAGGGGUUCUGAGAGGAAGGUCCCCCACAUUGGAACUGAGACACGGUCCAAACGCCUACGGGAGGCAGCAGUGAGGAAGAUUGGGCAAUGGGCGAGAGCCUGAACCAGCCAAGUAGCGUGAAGGACGACUGCCCUAUGGGUUGUAAACUUCUUUUAUAAAGGAAUAAAGUCGGGUAUGGAUACCCGUUUGCAUGUACUUUAUGAAUAAGGAUCGGCUAACUCCGUG